AUGGUGAUACAUCUCCAACAAAUAAAAGUUCUCGGAAUGGAACGAAACUUUGUGAGGAAUUUUUGUACAAUAAAAGAGAAUUUCUGGAGCCAAGACCUGCCAGAGAGGGGCACCUGGGUGGGCACAACCUACCAGGGCGCGCCCAGGUGGGUUGUCCCUACCUGGUGGCCCGCUGACCCUGAAACCAACGCUAUAAAAUCUUAUUUCUGGAGAAAAAAUCGCGGAGAAAGAAUUAUCGCGAUCCACGAGACGGAGCCACCGCCAAGCCCUGUUCUUCCUCGGGAGGGCAGAUCUAGAGUCCGUUUGGGGCUCCGGGUGCCAUGA
Molecule: ribosomal RNA, 324 nt
Filed under: Triticum aestivum (bread wheat)
Lineage: Eukaryota; Viridiplantae; Streptophyta; Magnoliopsida; Poales; Poaceae
Description: partial small subunit ribosomal RNA
Source: RNAcentral